Molecule: non-coding RNA, 2743 nt
Organism: Mus caroli (Ryukyu mouse)
Lineage: Eukaryota; Metazoa; Chordata; Mammalia; Rodentia; Muridae
Source: RefSeq, a predicted model, not a curated record
GUUACCGCCACCCUCUCCCAGGUCUAGAGAGGGGUACCCACGGCGGAGGGAGGUGGGAGGCCGAGACGGCCCCGGGGGUCGGCGGAAACCCAGCGGGAGCAGGGGGAAAUCGGAAGAGCUGGGGGCAUGGAGCGGGCGAGUUUGGAGCGGAAUGAGCCGGGAGCCCUGCGUUGUGGAAGGAAGACAACAGUAUAGGACCAUCAGCAGGACCGGACAGAGAGGGGCACACGAGACUGGCCUCGAACUCAGAAAUCCACCUGCCUCUGACUCCCGAGUGCUGGGAUUAAAGGUGUGCACCACCACACUCAGCAAGGAAGCCUGUUGUAAGAAGUGAUUCCAUAGAGGAGUUCUGAGGCGGCUCAGGGCUCACUGUAUAGGCAGCUUGACUAAACAGUGGACCUCAGGGUCCCAUUUCUCUCAGUAGACAAGAGAGGCUAAACCAGGCUGCAGGUGACAGGAAGAAUUGAAUAAACUGAAAGCAAAGGGCAGCCUUCUAAUUACGCUGCUUUGUGGCUACGUGGACAACCUGGAGAAGUCUGGAAAUAAAGAAGCCAGAAGCCCGAAGCCAGCAGUAGAGCUCUGACUGGCUUGUAUGCCUAGAAAGGAAGGGCUCUUCUUUCGCCUCACGGGCACAAAUGGGACCCAUGAGCGCCGAUUUCAGAUGAUUCUGAUCCUUUCAAAAAGAAAGUUAGGAGUCCAGGCUACUCCACUUUGGUGAUAGAAAUCAAACCCUAAUCACGGUGCAGCCACAAGUCACAGAGACCGAAAUAGCAGACUUAGGACAGACAAGGAUGGAGACAGCUAAGGAACUGGCUAUUAAUCACCAGUCCCUUUGCUCACAGCCCAUUGGACCCGAGGAUGAAGGAUGAGGAGGAUGGAAGAAAAUGGGAGUGGCGCUUGCUGCAAAGGGUCGCGAAGGGUCUCAGCACCUGCCAACUGGCUCCAAUCCAAACUCCACUAUUCAUGGUCAAGUUCACAUAGGGCCGUAGGGUUCUAACAAGAUGUGACUAAACUUAUGUUUUCUAUCUUAUUGAUUGUUGUGUGGUUGAUGCACGUCUGGUGGUGCAUCCUUGAAGAACACAGACACCCUGAGAAGAGACAUAGUCCCCAGGUUCCAGCACUUACUUCUCUGUGAGCUACCACUGUAGCUGAAGAUACAGGGCUCAGGACGAACACUUGGCCUUCACUUUGAACUUCAGGCCCACGUAACCAUCAGCCUACGUGACACUGCAAAGGCACCUUAGCUCUGCUGUCCCAGAUGGCCAAGCCAACCUUAUUCCAGAAGCUAUUGCUCCUCAUGUAAGAACCAGACACAAAAAAAGACAACCUCUGCCUCACCCUCCUUCACACAACACUGAGUCUGUCACCUUUGAAGCAUUUCUCAAGCCGUGUUUAUUCCCCUGGCCUACAUGGAACACAGCCAGGGUACGGAACACAACCUCAGCACCGGUUUGCUUUCCUCUCCCCCUUUCUGGUCUUUCUCAGAUGCCCAGAGCUCUUCUGUCCCAAUGACUGCUUAUCAAAGAUCUCACUGUGUCCCCACCCAAGGGGUCUUUGGCCACCCUGUGAAGUCCUAGUGGCCUGGAGUUUGCCCCCUUUCCCAGGCACCUUAGGGUUCCUGCUGCAGCUCCAGAACUGGGGGAGCAGGGUUGGGGGUGAGUGUGUGUGUGUGUGUGUGUGUGCGCGUGUGUGUGUGUGUCAAUGUUGACUCACCCUGCAGUAUUCUCUCCAUCUGAACAGGUCCCCAGUCUCUGAGACUGAAUCACCCCUCUUUCACUAUGCCUCUGCACAGCUGCCCUUGUGCUCCCUCUCCUUGCCCCGCCUCUUUUUAAGACAGAGUAUUAUGCAGCCCUGGCUGUCCUGGAACUUGUGUAAACCAGCCUGGCCUUGAACUUGCAGAGAUCCACCUGCCUCUGCUUCUGCCUCUGCCUCUGCUUCUGCCUCUGCCUCUGCCUCUGCCUCUGCCUCUGCCUCUGCCUCUGCCUCUGCCUCUGCCUCUGCCUCUGCCUCUGCCUCUGCCUUUCUGCCUCUGCCUUUCUGCCUCUGCCUCUGCCUUUCUGCCUCUGCCUCUCAAGUGUCAGGGAUUAAUGUCUGCCACCUCCCCAGUCCCACCUCUCUCCAUCUACCAUGUAGGUUCCACGGGGCAAGCCCAAGUCAUCAGUGCCUUUCUCCACUGAGCCGUUUGGUGUGUCUUUGAUGGUGAUUAUUUACAGGAGCUAUUCAGCAAAGUUAAAUGCUGGCAACCCAAUGAGGGGUCUCUUGAUCCAAAACUGAGAAGUUGAGGCACUAUUUCAGAAUGACCAAAGACAGUGGAAGAAUCUAGAUAUGUCAAUGAUGAGAACAAUAAUAACUCCAAAAGCUGAGGGAAAUUAACUCAAAAGCUUCCAGCUUCCUUUUCCUUACCUAGUUUAGUGGACUCCAACUCUCGGGAUAGCUUUUUCCUGGCCCCAAACUCACCUGAUUCGUCUAUCCACCGCCACACUGAAGAACGAACAGCUGUCUCAGAGAGCUUGGCUCCAGAGCUCUGCAAAAAGAGAACACCUUGCCUUGAGCUGUGUUUCCAGAAUGCAUUGCAGCCCCCAGAGUCAUGUACUGUGACCAGGUCAGGACAUGCAUCUUCUGUUCUCCUGUACCCAGGGCCCCAGCAACCAAGGAUCUGGGGACAUGGCUGAUGUUUGGCAGGUUCGCACUCUGAAAAUAUUUGAUGAGACUCAGUAUAUGCUAAAUAAACACUGGAUCAAGU